UACAGAGGGUGCGAGCGUUGUCCGGAAUUACUGGGCGUAAAGGGCGCGUAGGCGGUCGUGACAAGUCACUUGUGAAAUCUCCGGGCUUAACUCGGAACGGUCAAGUGAUACUGUCGGACUAGAGUACAGAAGGGGCAACUGGAAUUCUCGGUGUAGCGGUGAAAUGCGUAGAUAUCGAGAGGAACACCUGCGGCGAAGGCGGGUUGCUGGGCUGAUACUGACGCUGAGGCGCGAAAGCCAGGGGAGCGAACGGG
Molecule: ribosomal RNA, 254 nt
Filed under: uncultured bacterium
Lineage: Bacteria
Description: partial 16S ribosomal RNA
Rfam family: Bacterial small subunit ribosomal RNA
Source: RNAcentral